CAGAGUUCGAGGCGCCGGAAACCGAGGUCCCUGCGUUCGAAGCGCCGGAGGCUGAGCUUUCUGAGUUCGAACCGCAGGACUCCGC
RNAcentral lists this transfer RNA (85 nucleotides) under compost metagenome. Its description in RNAcentral is "tRNA-Ser". The record is from RNAcentral.